GGCUUGGCUGGCCCAACCCUUAUUGGAUACUCCUCCCAUUUUUUUCAUUCCUGGAGCCUGUUGAAUUAAGAAAGCCCAGUCAAUAAUCUCUUCACUGCCAUACCCUCCCAAGAUGUGUAUCCAUAUAAAAUUAGAGCACCAGGGAAGGCAACCUAAUGAGGGCUUUAAAUACCUCCGAUUAGGCCAGAAGGGCAAAAUUUUGACAUCACAAAAUAAGCUGUCCUCUCCAAAGGAUGGUGUCUUCUCUUCAUUCUGCCAGUACAAGAUUGCUAAAGUUUGGUUCCCAAGGCACUCCUUAGCAGGCUAAAUCUGAGAUGGGAAUUACUCUGCUGAGAAAAGAAGAUUAAUGUUUCAUAACAAAAGG
RNAcentral lists this long non-coding RNA (364 nucleotides) under Homo sapiens (human). Its description in RNAcentral is "HSALNT0181439". Lineage: Eukaryota; Metazoa; Chordata; Mammalia; Primates; Hominidae. The record is from RNAcentral.